This 193-nucleotide long non-coding RNA is filed under the name Propithecus coquereli (Coquerel's sifaka). RNAcentral's name for it is "Pvt1 onco conserved region 1 (ENSPCOG00000008013.1)". It matches the Rfam family "Pvt1 oncogene conserved region 1". Lineage: Eukaryota; Metazoa; Chordata; Mammalia; Primates; Indriidae. The record is from RNAcentral.
AGAGCGCGUGUGGCCGCCGAGCACAUGGGCCCGCGGGCCGGUCGGGCUUGGGGCGGCCCGGACGAGGAGGGGCGGCAAGGAGCCGCGAGCAAGGAUGGGCCCUGGCACCGCGGAACCCCCCAAGCGGAUUUCCACGCGGAAAAGAUGUUGACGGCCCCAGUGACCUGUGGAGAUAGGCUCGAUCCACCCUCCA